This 333-nucleotide ribosomal RNA is filed under the name Laparocerus tinguaro tabornoi. Its description in RNAcentral is "partial 12S ribosomal RNA". Lineage: Eukaryota; Metazoa; Arthropoda; Insecta; Coleoptera; Curculionidae. The record is from RNAcentral.
AAUACCCUAUUAUUUUAAAAGUAAUUUAAUAAAUCUAAUUAGUAAUAGUUAAGUUCUUGAAAAUUAAAGAAUUUGGCGGUAUUUUAGUCUAUUCAGAGGAAUCUGUCCUAUAAUUGAUAACCCACGAUUUUUUAUACCUAAUUUAUUAAUUUACAUAUCGCCGUAGUUUGAAUAUUUUUUGAAAAUUAUAAUAUUCAUAAUAUAUUUUUAUAAAGAAAAUCAGGUCAAGGUGUAGUUUAUAGUCAGGAAGAGAUGGGUUACAGUAAAAGUAUUUAUUAUGGAUUAAUUAAUUAAAUUUUUUUAUGAAGGUGGAUUUGAAAGUAAUUUUAUUUA